CUCCGAAGUGAGUGAUACCCUGCUUCCAGGAAAAGCCACUAAGCUUCAGCUGCACACGACCGUACCGCAAACCGACACUGGUGCGCGAGAUGAGUAUUCUAAGGCGCUUGAGAGAACUCAGGAGAAGGAACUCGGCAAAUUGACACCGUAACUUCGGAAGAAGGUGUGCCUUUAGUAGGUGAAGGGAUUUACUCCUGGAGCCCAAUGAGGUUGCAAAAAAUCGGUGGCUGCGACUGUUUAUUAAAAACACAGCACUCUGCAAACACGAAAGUGGACGUAUAGGGUGUGACGCCUGCCCGGUGCUGGAAGAUUAAAUGAUGGGGUGCAAGCUCUUGAUUGAAGUCCCAGUAAACGGCGGCCGUAACAAUAACGGUCCUAAGGUAGCGAAAUUCCUUGUCGGGUAAGUUCCGACCUGCACGAAUGGCGUAACGAUGGCCACACUGUCUCCUCCUGAGACUCAGCGAAGUUGAAAUGUUUGUGAUGAUGCAAUCUCCCCGCGGAAAGACGGAAAGACCCCAUGAACCUUUACUGUAGCUUUGUAUUGGACUUUGAACAGAUCUGUGUAGGAUAGGUGGGAGGCUUUGAAGCAGGGUCGCUAGAUCUUGUGGAGCCAACGUUGAAAUACCACCCUGGUGUGUUUGAGGUUCUAACCUAGGUCCAUUAUCUGGAUCGGGGACAGUGCAUGGUAGGCAGUUUGACUGGGGCGGUCUCCUCCCAAAGCGUAACGGAGGAGUUCGAAGGUACGCUAGGUACGGUCGGACAUCGUGCUAAUAGUGCAAUGGCAUAAGCGUGCUUAACUGCGAGACUGACAAGUCGAGCAGAUGCGAAAGCGGGACAUAGUGAUCCGGUGGUUCUGUAUGGAAGGGCCAUCGCUCAACGGAUAAAAGGUACUCUGGGGAUAACAGGCUGAUACCGCCCAAGAGUUCAUAUCGACGGCGGUGUUUGGCACCUCGAUGUCGGCUCAUCUCAUCCUGGGGCUGUAGCCGGUCCCAAGGGUAUGGCUGUUCGCCAUUUAAAGAGGUACGUGAGCUGGGUUUAAAACGUCGUGAGACAGUUUGGUCCCUAUCUUCCGUGGGCGCUGCAGAUUUGAGGAAGCCUGCUCCUAGUACGAGAGGACCGGAGUGGACGCACCUCUGGUGUAUCGGUUGUCACGCCAGUGGCAUUGCCGAGUAGCUAUGUGCGGAAGAGAUAACCGCUGAAAGCAUCUAAGCGGGAAACUCGUUUCAAGAUGAGAUCUGCCGGGGCCUUGAGCCCCCUGAAGAGUCGUUCAAGACCAGGACGUUGAUAGGUCAGGUGUGGAAGCGCAGUAAUGCGUUAAGCUAACUGAUACUAAUUGCUCGUGCGGCUUGACCCC
This 1354-nucleotide ribosomal RNA is filed under the name metagenome. RNAcentral describes it as "bacterial LSU rRNA". It matches the Rfam family "Bacterial large subunit ribosomal RNA", at positions 1583 to 2925 of the family's 2925-position model. The record is from RNAcentral.